UGAGGGAUAUUGGGCAAUGGAGGCAACUCUGACCCAGCCAUGCCGCGUGAGUGAAGAAGGUUUUCGGAUUGUAAAGCUCUUUCGGGUGUGACGAUGAUGACGGUAGCACCUAAAGAAGCCCCGGCUAACUUCGUGCCAGCAGCCGCGGUAAUACGAAGGGGGCAAGCGUUGUUCGGAAUUACUGGGCGUAAAGGGAGUGUAGGCGGUUAUGUAAGAUAGUGGUGAAAUCCCAGAGCUUAACUUUGGAAUUGCCAUUAUGACUAUGUGGCUAGAAUUACAGAGAGGAUAGUGGAAUACCCAGUGUAGAGGUGAAAUUCGUAGAUAUUGGGUAGAACACCAGUGGCGAAGGCGACUAUCUGGCUGUAUAUUGACGCUGAGGCUCGAAAGCAUGGGGAUCAAACAGGAUUAGAUACC
RNAcentral lists this ribosomal RNA (414 nucleotides) under uncultured bacterium. Its description in RNAcentral is "bacterial SSU rRNA". It matches the Rfam family "Bacterial small subunit ribosomal RNA", at positions 355 to 786 of the family's 1533-position model. The record is from RNAcentral.